GGGCGUUAAGUUGCAGGGUAUAGACCCGAAACCCGGUGAUCUAGCCAUGGGCAGGUUGAAGGUUGGGUAACACUAACUGGAGGACCGAACCGACUAAUGUUGAAAAAUUAGCGGAUGACCUGUGGCUGGGGGUGAAAGGCCAAUCAAACCGGGAGAUAGCUGGUUCUCCCCGAAAGCUAUUUAGGUAGCGCCUCGUGAAUUCAUCUCCGGGGGUAGAGCACUGUUUCGGCUAGGGGGCCAUCCCGGCUUACCAACCCGAUGCAAACUGCGAAUACCGGAGAAUGUUAUCACGGGAGACACACGGCGGGUGCUAACGUCCGUCGUGAAGAGGGAAACAACCCAGACCGCCAGCUAAGGUCCCAAAGUCAUGGUUAAGUGGGAAACGAUGUGGGAAGGCCCAGACAGCCAGGAUGUUGGCUUAGAAGCAGCCAUCAUUUAAAGAAAGCGUAAUAGCUCACUGGUCGAGUCGGCCUGCGCGGAAGAUGUAACGGGGCUAAACCAUGCACCGAAGCUGCGGCAGCGAACGUAUCAC
RNAcentral lists this ribosomal RNA (532 nucleotides) under Salmonella enterica subsp. enterica. RNAcentral describes it as "bacterial LSU rRNA". It matches the Rfam family "Bacterial large subunit ribosomal RNA", at positions 690 to 1219 of the family's 2925-position model. Lineage: Bacteria; Pseudomonadati; Pseudomonadota; Gammaproteobacteria; Enterobacterales; Enterobacteriaceae. RNAcentral also lists the same sequence under 2 other names. The record is from RNAcentral.